GUGGGGGUGGGGGAGCACUGUACCAUUUUACACUCCUCUUUUAGCAAAAUAUGAGAAGGUCUGUUUCACCCCAGCUUCAGCAAAAGAGGGUGUUCUCCAGUUUGUGGGGUUUUGCCUGAUAUCGACAUGUGACAUACAAUAUCUUGCUGUUGUUUUAACUGUAAUUUCUGUUACCACGAGGUUCACAGUGUUUUCAUGUGGUGAGGCCAUCUGAAUUUCUAUGAGCUCUCUGACCCCACCCAUUUUUCUUUUGGAUAUUUGUGGUCUUUUUCUUAUAAACUUCUAGGAUGCAAGAACUAUUUGGGAUCUGAAUUGGAAAUAUUUCUCCCAGUUUGGUAUAUUGCUUCUGAGUUUGCAUGCUUUCUUAGAAAUUUUAUUUUAUUUACUUAGCCAUGUAAAAGUUUUUGCUUUGAUAUAGUCACAUUUAUCCAAAUGUUAUGGUGGCAAAGAAUCCUAUAUGAGCUGCUAAAAAGGAAUGGGGUGGGGGAGGUGGUUCUUUGGUCCAGAUUUAGAGAGAUCUCCAAAUGUAUCAUGAAGUGGAAAAGGCAAAAGUACAUAGUUUACCCCUGUUUCUCCAUGAAAGAAAGUGGGCAUGUAUGCUCUUAUUUGUUUAUAUUUUCAUAAAGGAAGUAUGAUAGGUUAUUUUAUAUGUCAGCUUGGCCAAGCUCUGGUGCUGGGUCAUUCGGUUAAACACUAGUCCAGAUGUUGCUGUGGCUGUCCUUUUUAGAUAUGAUUCUUAUCUACAAUAAACAGACAGGUUAGUUAAGCAGAUUAUCCUCCGCACUGCGAAGGGCCUCAUCCAGUCAGUCAAAGGCCCUCAGAGCAAAGACUGUGGUUCCCCAAGUAGAAUGAAUUCCUCUCAAGACUGUGACACAGAAAGCCCACCUGAGCUUCUAGCCUGAAGAAUUCAGACUGACGAAUGCAACUUCCUCAUCUACUGAACCUCCAGCCUCCCUGCUGCCCUGCAAAUAUCAUACUUGCCAGCCCCCACAAUCAGGGAAACCGAGGCACGAGAAGCUAACUUUCCGAGGCUGCCCAGCUGGUAAGCAGCAGAGCCAAGCUUCCCGCUUGGCCAGCGAGCUCCAGAGUCCCUGCCCUCAAAUCAGAAGCUGCAUGGCACAGUGACGCCAAGAAAACAACCUGGAGGGCCCAGGCUGGCAGAAGUCGGUGGGGGGGGCAAGGACAAGGAGGAAGCCAAAAGCUAAGAACAAAGUCAGACGGACACCGAGGCAGAAGCCGGGAAAGCAGAGCACGGUCACCAAUUGUUGGGGACAUGCUCUGAGUGAGAGGGUUUGAGAACUGCCACUCGCGGGCCGAGGACUGCUCGCUCUAAAGGUGUCUCAGGCUGAAAUCCAGCUAGACCUCUGCUCCAAGUCAGGGGCUGCGGCACAAAACACAGAUCUUUGCUCUUUCUGUCCACAGCAGCCCUCGGCCCACCCCAAGACAGCAGCAGAGAAGCGACCCAGGCAGGGGCUGCGGUCAGUGGGUGGAGCCUCUGGUUUCCUAGGAAAGUCAGACGUGCUGGUUGCCAUUUUCUCCAUAAAUUACUCCCAUGAAAGUCAAAUAUCUGCAUUAACUAAAUUUUUGAUAUUUUAUGGAUUGGUUCCACAAAAAAAGCACUUAAACAGCCCUUUCUGCUGACUUCCAAAUUCCUAUCUCACCUCCCUCUCAUCUUCAAUUCAAGUUUAUCAUCCUCUGUGUAAA
Long non-coding RNA from Sapajus apella (tufted capuchin), 1704 nucleotides. RefSeq lists it as uncharacterized. Lineage: Eukaryota; Metazoa; Chordata; Mammalia; Primates; Cebidae. The record is from RefSeq and is a predicted model, not a curated record. The transcript is spliced from 2 exons.